AAACCAGCACCUCAAGUGGUCAGGAUGAUUAUUGGGCCUAAAGCAUCCGUAGCCGGCUCUGUAAGUUUUCGGUUAAAUCUGUACGCUCAACGUACAGGCUGCCGGGAAUACUGCAGAGCUAGGGAGUGGGAGAGGUAGACGGUACUCGGGAGGAAGUGGUAAAAUGCUUUGAUCUCUCGAUGACCACCUGUGGCGAAGGCGGUCUACCAGAACACGUCCGACGGUGAGGGAUGAAAGCUGGGGGAGCAAACAGGAUUAGAAACCCCGGUAGUCC
RNAcentral lists this ribosomal RNA (274 nucleotides) under uncultured bacterium. RNAcentral's name for it is "partial 16S ribosomal RNA". It matches the Rfam family "Archaeal small subunit ribosomal RNA", at positions 473 to 747 of the family's 1478-position model. The record is from RNAcentral.